Physcomitrium patens is the source of this 4316-nucleotide non-coding RNA. NCBI's taxonomy places the organism in Eukaryota, Viridiplantae, Streptophyta, Bryopsida, Funariales, Funariaceae. The record is from RefSeq and is a predicted model, not a curated record.
ACUCACUUUAUAAGAGAAUCAUCUUUUGACGCAGGAAUGGACAGUUCUACAAUUACCAGAGUUUUUUUCUCUUGAUUUCGUUCCAGUGCUUCCGUAUGCCUCAAUCUUGGCUGCUUGCUUUUAGCGUUGAUUGGGUAUCUCCGUAAUUACAUAUUACGGCUGAGUUUUCAAUUCACCAAAAUUUAUUCUCUCUGUGCUUCUGCUUCACCAUUACUUGUUGCCACGAAAUUAUUGGUGAUGGAUAAUCUUGUUGCAAUCGUCGACUGCACGAAGUACAGCGAGGAUCACCAUGGAGAUGAAGGUGAUUUUUGAGGUGGAAUUGUAAGUAAAAUCUGUAGAUGAUGGGAGCUUCAGCGGGAUUCUAGCGGGAAGUAGUGAAGCACGAGGAACAAGUACGCAACAAUGGCGACAAUAUCGGCCUGGAAUUUUCCAUUCCAAGCGAUCAUUAUUUCGAAUAAAGAGACUAAUUUUAUCAAACUGAGAGCACUGGUGCACAUAGAGUCUGGUUUGGAAUGUUGUCUUCAGAACCUGCCGCCACCUGUUUGUUGCUAAAUUUCGGGCACAGAGCAGCCAGGGAAGAGCGGCGCACGAGCAGGACAACUGGGGCACAGCUACAAAUUGCUUUCUGCAAUGUAAGGAAAUGUUGUUGAGAGAGGGAGAAGAGCGCCUGGGGACACUCUCGUAUCAUUCUCUAGUGAUGUGGGUCGACCUAUUUCUGGCGCAGCUGUAUUAAGCAGGACACGCUCGAAAAGGUGAUUGAGUUACGGAAGGAUAUACUCCACUCCGUCAUGUCUUUGAAGUGGCAGGCUAUGGCACUGAUUUGUGAAACGUAUUGUUGCACGGCUCAGUACGAACUGGGGAUGCAUUGGACUCUUCCAUACAGAAAAAUGAAGCGGUACAAGGGUUUUCUGAAUUAAGAAAGUGUUCUGAAGAGACUGUGGACGCCGAAAUAUGAUCCCUCCUGUGUUUCGACCACAAAUAUCUGGGGAGAUUCGUCGAAAGCUUGCGGUGGGUUCGAGAAGCCAAUCGAGCGAGGAUGAAAAGUCCCUCAGUUUGGAACCUUUGCAAAUUUUAUUUUCUAGAGCGCGAAACGCGGCUAUUAAUGAAGCUUGAGAAUAUUGCAGAGGCUGUUUGAGUACUUGAAGAUUUGACCAAUACCUUCGCCUCUGAGUCUGCUCAGAAUCGAAAGCUUGCACUAUCCAUUCAAAACGCCCGCGAAUUGCUACAUGAGUGUUACAUGCAGAUGAGUAGAAGAGUUGCAGAACUUGGCGAUGUCCAACUAGCAAAGGAGUUCGAAGACCUAGCCAGGGAACAACUUCAAUUGUUUCAGUGGGUUUCCUGAACCGGCUUCACACAAUUAAGCUAGUCAAUGUUUGAUUAUGUACAGUUUACUGGAUUGGAAUUAUGGACUCUGAUCCGAUUGUGUCAAAGAAAAUCUUGUAAUAAAUGGAUUGACGAGCAAACAAAUGCAAGACGACCCCAAUUGAGAUUGUGGGUGGAUUCGACAUUCAAUUUCAACUACCCACGGCCUCUCCUCUCGGAAGCUCGGGCCUAGGCUUGACUCAAGCACCUGUUUGGAAAGGUGCACAGUUACACAUGAGUAAGUUGCCAAAGCCUAUCAUGGAGCUACUGGAGCGUCAAUAUAGUGCAAUGCAAUAUUUGCAAGAGGUCCACGAUGGAGAGACAGCUAUAUUGUUGUCCGAGCAAAUGAGGGAGGUCUUGAAGAUGAUCAAAAGAUGUCUUGCCUCGGGGACAUACGACUGGCUACUAUCAUGGGUUGACCUCCCAUUGGCAGGUUUAUAUCACUAUUGUGCUAGAAAGUUUGAUAAAGCACUCGAGAUAUGGAAGGAGAUAAAAGAGUGUUCAGUCCAUAAAUCGGAAUGUACCGAUAAGUUGGAGGUUUCAUCAACAGACUACCAAAUCCCAUUUGCUGCAUUGGAGUACGAAUUGAGUUUCUCAAACGCGUCUGUCCGGGGGAAAUAGGACAUCGUCUAAACGUGGGCUACAGCAUCUUGCAUAAGUGAGGAGAAAGGUGAGCAAGACGAACCACCUAAAUCCUAAACCCUAAGCCAUCGUUUGUUUAGGGUUACUACUGCCAUAGAAAUUUUCAGGGUGCAUUAGAAUGGCUACAAAUAUCAAAACACAUGAGGCUGAAAGGACAUCGAACGAACGGUGGUUGCCCACGGAGGAGGGGUCCGAGAAUUGACUAUGUUUGUUGCGAUUAUGACUAUAAUCGCUGCGAAAUUGAUCUUUUUACGAAGCUUGAAAGGCACAAAGAAGCAACUAAUGCUCUAGAAAGUCUACUCCACAGCAAAGAAUGCGUUCAGGAAUCUGGUAUCGUCGAUUGCAUCAACAAUGAUCUCCUGUGAGUGCUUGCAAACGUCAUUUAUGUUUUGCAAACUGUACCUAGUUAUCAAAUUUGCACCUAUUUUUGUUGUUUGUGUUGUGUCGCUAUUGUUCUGUAUGUUCAAAGUGGGAGCUGGCAUUCCUACUUUAAACUUCAUGUGAGGUGGAGAAGGUGUACAUACGGGUUAAUUUUGAAUGUUGCAGAGUUGAUGAGAGUAUCCUGGGACAAUUGCCAACUUCAAGUCCAACAGAAACUGGCUGCAUCUUUCUCAAGUGGUCAAAUGAAAUAUGGUCACGUGGUUUUACUGAAGUGAGAUGUGAAUCCUCAUUGUGCUGGACAAAGUCGAAUGAGCUCCCACCUUUGGGAGCUAAUUUUGAUGCUAUAAUUGGACUAUUUUUUGACCUUAUACAUCCGACUAGCUAAAUGGCGAUGAACAAAUGACCGGCACAGGUGUAUCAAAUUAUCUUUGUGGCUUUGGAAUUCCUGGAACGUUAUAUCUUUUCACCUUAAAAGGUUUCUAUUUUCAAGUUCUUGGGGUAUCGUGUCAAUACACCCAUGAAAUCACCUAAUUUGAGUAUCAUGAGCUGAACGGGACUCAAUCACCAGAUUAAUUAUAAUGGUGGAAUUGCACAUUGUUGGCGGUUCAAAAAACUUAGAGAGCUAAGAAAAAAUUGAGCAAAAUAGGAACGCAGCAAGGGUUCAUGAGGUCAAUUUGAAGGGAAUGGAUUGCAAGAGCUAAACUGAAACAUUAUGUAUGCACGGUUGAGAAGUAGAAGAGAGCGGAAAUCCCAUAUCUUCUACAAAAUGGCAUUAAUAGUGAAAUGCGCUAGUUUAAUUAGCAUGAGGUUCUCACUAAUUUCGUGGAUGCCCUUAUCUGGAAUUCCAGUUGGUUCAAUCCUCGGUUAAUUUGGAGCAUCAUUUAUUGAAGUUGUCGUUUCCCACUCAACUGGCGUUUCGGAAACACAGCUCUCUGGGAUGCCUGUACAACUUGGAAUGGAUGGAUUGGGAAAAUGCCAUAUUUCAUAUGGAGUGGUGUCUCGAGAUCUUGGAGACUGUGCCAAGAAAAAGAGUGGCAGAGUUCAAGCAAAUGGAGAAGGAUAAGAGGGAAAACGUUCUCAGAGCCAACGAAGAACUUGAACUUGAACGGAGCCUGAGAGCUCUUAAAUCUUGUGACCGGCUGAGGCAAUGGAUCAUCCCCCCUCUCGUGGACCUUUAUCACAUGAAGAAGCAAUACAUGACAGCGUUUGAUUAUGGCUUUGUUUGCUACAUGCAAUUCACUGUGCUGAGAUUGCCGACCAUAAGUCGAAGACGGAAUUGGAAAAUUAUAUUUUUUAAAAAGCAUAUGCUGCAAUAUAUCAGUGCGCCAUCUCUGAUUCUCCUAGUGAUUCCAGAUUGAAGAUCUAUGUUAUCAAGAGAGUUUUGGGAAUGUUUGAACUGAUGGAUGAUUGGCCUGUGGAGUGCGGGAUUCUGCAAUUUUUACGAACGAAGUUCAUGAGUGUGUGUGCAAACAUGAAGGUGCAUUGGAUUUUAUUCGACAAGAAAAGCAACUUCUAGACCAGUGGUACCCAGAACCCGAGCAGAAAAUGGCAGAGAAUUACUUGACUUGUGUGUUGAUUGAAGCUACUUGUUUGUGGCACCCUUAAAGGCUGGAUGAGAUUGGGAGAGUCACGCACAAAUACUGGGAAAGUACGGGCAAGAACCCAACUUUACUCCAAAAUCAAGUUAAGAAACAUAUGGACAGGAUGGGAGAAAUCCCGCAGGGACUGCAAGGCUUACUUCACUUCAUGCUACAUGGAGAUUUUGAUGGGGUUCCAACUGAGCUACUUGAGUUGAGACGAAAAAGCGGAGAGUGUAUAACGAAGAAGCAAUUUUAAUGCUUAAUACUCUAUUUUAUUUGUGUGCUAAAGCUUUCAAAAUUUUUAAGCAUAUUUUGCAUUUGUUAUGAAUUUUUUUCACUUUUUUGCAACCA